UAUAAGAAAAGAAAAGAAAAGCAGAACAAGUCUUGGUGUGGAAGCCGUAGUGCGACCCAGUGAGCUCCACAGUGUUUGCUUUGGUCCAUGCAUCUUUAUUUGUAAGUGUGCAUUGCAAUGAGUCAUUGGUCUGGUUUGUGGCCUCUGAUUCUGCUUCCCCCUUGAUAUGGGCUCUCACUGGGUUUCCUCUUGGAUAUUCUGUUGUUGCCUUGUGUCCUAGAGAUCCUGUAGUUUCACAUCUACAGGCCUUCUCCCCUUACGUGCUUUAGCAGUUCACCACCAGGGAGAGCUCUCCUGCACCGCCCUGGUCCCUCAUCCCUCAGACAACAAGGAGCAGGGCCAGUCUUCCCAUUCUCACACUCUAGGGGCUGGCUCACUGGCAUCCACACCACCAGGGCUGGCUCUAUUGUUUUGCCCACGCAAGGUUCAGGGUCAGCUCACCCUCUCUCAUAUUGCCAAGGCCAGCUCUCCUGCCUGCGGCAGAUGGCAAGGAUUGUGGGGGCAUCUUUCCCUCACCCAUGCCACCACGUGGCAGAUGAAGGAGGCGGGGUCACCUGUCCUGUUCUCGUGCUCUCAGGGAAGGCUCACUUGCACCCCUGCCAACAGGGUCAGCUCUAGUGUGCUGCCCAGGCAAGGUGCAGGGUCCUUUCUCCCAAUGUGUCACAGCCGGUGAGGGACCCUUGGCUCUCAACCUCUCCUGACACCGGGAGCCAGCUCUCCUGCCUGAAGAGAUGGGAAUUUCAGUGACUGGAAAUUGCUUUCCCAACUUGCUGUUAUCAAUCAUGAAAGAAGCUGCUCACGGCUCAUGGACUAAUUGCGACCAGCUGUUGUCAUUUCCUGAGAGGACAGUUUCGCAUAGCCGGAGAAAGUUGAAAUCCAGGCUCUCCCCAGGAAACGCUGCUUCAUGGGUUGUAGCUACUUGUCAGGUUCCUGACUCAACAAACUGAAAUAUUGCCAAAGAAGAUUUCAUUUCAAAUUUCAAGUUUGCUCAGUCACAGCACUGAUGUUGCUGAAUGUAAUUAAUUACCUUCAGGUAAGCUCUGUUGCUGUUAGGCAGCGAAGAGGGGCUGCAGAGGAGAAACAGUCUGAUCCAGCCUGCGGAGGCCAACAGGAAGGCAACAAGCGGUCAUGCCAUUUUCCUCGUUCCUAACGUCGGGUCCAUGAUCACUUUAUGCAAGUGAAACAUGAAAAAUAAUUCUGGAGGACUACUUCUUAGUGGCUAAUGACAAACAUUUUCUCGUGUGUGUGUGUGUGUGUGUGUGUGUGUGUGUGUGUGUAGGUCUAACAUUUGGGAUGCUGUUAGCUUAUUUUACAGCAUAGCUUUUAGUGUCCGUUUUAGAAGAUCCUCACUGCACAGAAAUGCUAAAUUCCCAGAAGUGACUGGGGUUCACUGAAGGAAAUUCUGUCCUUGGGGACAGAGGUGCCUGUCACAGGAGCGAUCCACUUCACUUGAUUCGAUCUCCCACUGGGAAAAUCAUUCUUGAAUCACAGGGUAUGGCUGUCAACUCUCUAAAGUAAAGUGUAGUGACGGGGCCUUUAAGAAGACAAUGCUAGGAAAAGCAGGCAUUUGGUAACCAAGGAGAGAGUCAUGAUCCCAGGGGUACCGUGGACUUAGUUCUUGGCCAGGAAGCACUUCUUGGCAUCCGCUGCUGCCAUUUCUCUGCUCGGGCCAGCUCACUUGGGCCAGAGCUGAUUGCUAAAUUGUGGAAAAUUUCUCAGCCCUUAUCAACUGCUGGUAGCAAAAGUUUAGUCAGAGUAGAAGCAUUUAGACCACAAAAUAUGCAAAUGGUUCACAUCUGCGCUUUUGUUUAAUUUUUAAUAAUUUUUGGAGAGCUGGCCUGCGGUGCACUCAUGUCUGCAGCUCCUCACAUGCAAGCUCUGGCCUCUUCCCCAUGGUUCUCUCCUGAGGGCCUUUAGCUCUUUCCUUUUUUUCAUUCAUUGAUUUUUUUUCUGACUUUGCCAUUGAGGCAACUGUCACAUACCAAAGGUGCUUAGGAGUUUGUUCUCAUAAAACGCAUCCUGGAAAACAAUUUAUCUUUUCUCUCUCUCUUUUUUUUUUCUUGAGUGUGGAGUUAAUUGAGAGGAAGGCAGAGAGGAGUUAAGGGCGAGACAGAGACAGAGAGAGGAAGCGAGAGAAAAAUGCCUGCUUGCCUCUUCGGAAGAGCAGGGGGAAGAGAGCUAAUUUUUCUUUUCUAUUUAAACCAAGGUGCUAGGAUCUAGGACAGUAGUUCUCUGCCUGGGGGGGCCACAUUUCCUUUGGAGGUCCAACAGAAUGAUCCUUUCAUAGGGGUCACCUAAGACCACGGGGAACUGUAGACUGUAAUAUUACAAUUCAUAACAGUAGCAAACGUACAGUUAUGAAGUAGCAAUAAAAAUAAUUUUAUGGUUUGGGGUCACCAAGGUUGAGAAUCACUGCUCUGGGAGGAAAUGCUGGAGGACAAGGGCUUUCUUCUCGGGGAUCAUUAAUGAUAUAAACAUCUCUUCCUAUAUGUCUUGGGGCUAGAGAAAUGUGACAUCCACUUACAAAUAAUGAUUAAUGGACACCAACUGAGGAUUCUUGGUGGCCAGUUCUUUGAGUCACCCCCAACCACAGAAUACACUUUCUUCUAAGCAGCAGAUGAAGGUUGUGUGCCCCAGCAGCACAGUGAGUAUUUGAAUAUAGUUUAAAAGAUCCUAAGAGAACAGGGGAUGUGUGACUUAGAACUGAAUGGAAGAGGAAAAGGACCAGUCCAGUUACCAGUCUGUGCCUGCUGUACCCAUGGGGUGAUGCCGAGAUGUCUACAAAUCUGUCCCAGGCUUUGACACACUAUACCAUGUGGAUAGUGUGCUCACACUGUUCUGGGCACAAAACCUCUGGACAAAUUCCCUACUUCAUGGAGACUUCUGAGAGCGGUACUGUCUGUCUAUGUCAGCGUGGCAACGUUUUGUUUCAGGAAAAGUCUUACAUUAAAACAGUGGUACCUCAGGGAAGACCUUUACUGCUGACCUCAGGAAAUUCUUGUAAAUUGGUUUAUCCUCACCAUCCAGUUCACUCUUCUAGUUUAACGCUUCUUAUGUCAGGCAAAAGCCAGACUGCCAGUCUUCCUGUCGAGACUCUUUUUUCUGUUGUCCACCGAACCGAGGGUAUGAGGUCAGCGCUAUGCCCAGCUCCAGUUAGUUCCUGCCUUGACAGACAGGUUUGAAGCCUUUUGAGUUCAGCUCCCAUCAUCCAUCCAGCCACAAAGCUCUGUCAAAGUCUUCUCCUUGAGCAAACGUAAUGGGUUCAGCUUUCCUUCAUUAGACAUGUCAUUCAUUAUUAUUGUUUUAGUUUUGAAGAUGGCACAUUUCAGUGGACAGCAGAAUGUAAGAACGAGGGAGAAAAUACUUCAUAACUACUUUUUGCUAUAAUUACAACCUCGACUUUCCUUAUCUUUGUCCUGAAAGUAUCCAACUACUUGUUUUUCUACAAACAUGAAGCUGUGGUUUGGAUGUAGGUGGAAGGAGUCUCCCAGAAACUGAUGCUGGAAAGUUUUAUUGUCCAUCUACCCAUGUACUACUGUUGAAAAGAGGUAAGAACUUUCCAGAGGUGGAAACUGGUGGAAAGGUUUUAGGUCAUUGUGGAUUUGCUCUCAGAGGGGGGUUAACAAUUCUCGUGGGGCCUGCCUCUUGGUGUCCUGUCCCGCCCUGUAAGCUCUCUCUUACAUACCUGUCUGCCAUGAUGUCAUGCACCAUUAGGCAAUGAGCCUGGGAGCACCCUUAGGCAGUACAAUGAGAUUUGGGCUUUCAAUCUCCAAACAGUAAACUGUAUGAGACUUUUCUUUACUAAGUGUCUAGCCUUGGCCAUUUCAUUAAGAAACAGAAAGCAGGGCAAUAUACUUGGUAGACCCAUGACCCAUUUUCAGUGACACUUUGAUUUCAGAGUAUUUCAUUCUAUUGUGGUUUCUUCACUUUAUGUCUAACGUUUUCCAGAACUCUAGAUACAGGAGGCGCCUGAAGGUAGGCAGGUGAGUCACCAGAACUGGAUAGAGACCUGUUGUGAGAAGGAGGGAACUUGGCACAAAGCAGGGCCAUUUCCUCCUGUCAUAUUAAAUGUUGCCUUAAGCACAUCUGUUGAAAUGUUCUAGGCUCAAGCAAUACUUCAUGGGCUUGGCACACUGUGUUUUUCUAAAACAAAUUGCUUCCUGGCUCCCUGUACCACUGUGCAGGUGACCCUAGGGCUGGGCAUGGAUAACGGGCACCUAGAGCCUGCAGAGGUCUGAAAAGUGUGACCUCAGGUGGGCUGUGGCAUCUGCUUUACCAGGAACUGUGAAAAUGUCUAACUAUUUUUAUUACGAUGAUUAUUUUAUUUUAUUACGAUAUUUUAUUUUAUUAUUAUUUUAUUUUAUUUUAUUACGAUGAUUUUUAUUACGAUAGAUUAAAACUCUAUCUGUUUACAGUGUGGGAAAUUAUUAAUACUCUCGCAUUAUGUGGGUCUUCAGGUUGCAAAAAGAGACGUGAUAAAGAUAGUUUAUUCGGCAAAGCUGCGAAGAGUGUGGGAAGUAAAACACACAUGGAAUAUCAUCUGCUCUGGACAGCUACUGUCACGGCCUUUUCUAGACAAUAAUUCACUUGACUCUCACACCAGCUUCACAAGGGAGGGCUUCAGUAUUGCAUGGAUGGGGCAACUGUGGUUCUGAGAGGUUGUUCUGUAUCGCAGGUGACAGACAGGGGCACUAGUGUGUUUGGCUGCCCACUGCCCACUGCCCACUAGAUGUUCUCACUGAGUUCCCCAACUCUGGAACAAUAGAAGGCCAUGGGAGUAGGGAGAGGUGGGCACGAGAGACUGUUCCAGAUCCUUCUUCAGCUCUCAUCUCUUAUAAAACUGCUUUUAAUUUACCUGAAUGCUUUGUAACAUAAGCUAGACCACAAUAGAAAU
Molecule: non-coding RNA, 4894 nt
Organism: Myodes glareolus (Bank vole)
Lineage: Eukaryota; Metazoa; Chordata; Mammalia; Rodentia; Cricetidae
Source: RefSeq, a predicted model, not a curated record